Strongylocentrotus purpuratus (purple sea urchin) is the source of this 477-nucleotide long non-coding RNA. RefSeq lists it as uncharacterized. The record is from RefSeq and is a predicted model, not a curated record. Lineage: Eukaryota; Metazoa; Echinodermata; Echinoidea; Camarodonta; Strongylocentrotidae. The transcript has 4 exons.
AGAUUCAUGUGCAAGUAGCCAAUGUCAGAACGGAGGAACUUGUAAUCCUUCUCCGGGACCCAGUCUUCCCUACACGUGUAACUGUCUAGCCGGGUAUACCGGCGUAGUCUGUGAAACAGCUGUGGAUCUCUGUGCCAAUAACCAGUGUCAGAACGGAGGAUCUUGCAGUCCUUUCCAAGGUUCCAACCCUCCAUACAUCUGCAGUUGCCCAUUGGGAUUUGGUGGACAGUUCUGCCAAUCAGUUGUGAAUCCAUGUGCUGGUAGCCCAUGUCAGAACGGAGGAACUUGUAAUCCUACUCCGGGACCCAGUCUUCCCUACACGUGUAACUGUCUAGCUGGGUAUACCGGCGUACUCUGUCAAACAGUUGUAGAUCCAUGUGCUGGUAGCCAAUGUCAGAAUGGAGGAACUUGUAACCCUUCUCCGGGAUCAAGUCUACCCUACACGUGUAACUGUCUAGCUGGGUACACAGGCCAGCU